This 470-nucleotide long non-coding RNA is filed under the name Oryza sativa (Asian cultivated rice). Its description in RNAcentral is "long non-coding RNA (OSAT_LNC000317)". Lineage: Eukaryota; Viridiplantae; Streptophyta; Magnoliopsida; Poales; Poaceae. The record is from RNAcentral.
GUGAACGGGAAGGCGAAGGGGAAGUACAGGGCGCUGUUCAACUUCGGGGACUCGCUGGCCGACGCCGGCAACCUCCUCGCCAACGGCGUCGACUUCCGCCUCGCUACCGCCCAGCUCCCCUACGGCCAGACCUUCCCCGGCCACCCCACCGGCCGCUGCUCCGACGGCCGCCUCGUCGUCGACCACCUCGGUGCGCCCCUUGGUUUCUCCGCUAGAUUGGAUUUCGAUGUCUGCCUGCUUUGUGUUGCUGAUGGUUUGGUUUUUUGGUUUGGAUCGCAGCCGACGAGUUCGGCCUGCCGCUGCUGCCGCCGUCCAAGCUCAAGAACUCCAGCUUCGCUCACGGCGCCAACUUCGCCAUCACCGGCGCCACCGCGCUCGACACCCCCUACUUCGAGGCCAAGGGGCUCGGCGCCGUCGUCUGGAACUCCGGCGCCCUCCUCACCCAAAUCCAGUGGUUCCGCGAUCUCAAG